GACGAACGCUGGCGGCGUGCUUAACACAUGCAAGUCGAACGGAAAGGCCCUGCUUCUGUGGGGUGCUCGAGUGGCGAACGGGUGAGUAACCCGUGAGUAACCUGACCUUGACUUUGGGAUAACUUCAGGAAACUGGAGCUAAUACCGGAUGGGAGCACCACCUGCUUGGUGGGGGUUGGAACGUUUCGGCGGAUGGGGAUGGACUGGCGGCAUGUCUGGUUGCGGGUGGGGUAGUGGCUUACCAAGGCUUUGGCGGGUCGCGGGACUGAGAGGGUGACCGGCAACGUUGGGACUGAGAUACGGCCCAGACUCCUACGGGAGGCAGCAGUGCGGAAUAGUGUACAAUGGGCGGAAGCCUGAUGCAGCAACGCCGCGUGGGGGAUGACGGCCAUCGGGUUGUAAACCGCUUCCGCCUGUGACGAAGCGUGAGUGACGGUAAUGGGUAAAGAAGCACCGGCUAACUACGUG
Molecule: ribosomal RNA, 468 nt
Filed under: uncultured bacterium
Lineage: Bacteria
Description: partial 16S ribosomal RNA
Rfam family: Bacterial small subunit ribosomal RNA
Source: RNAcentral